Molecule: long non-coding RNA, 337 nt
Organism: Stylophora pistillata
Lineage: Eukaryota; Metazoa; Cnidaria; Anthozoa; Scleractinia; Pocilloporidae
Source: RefSeq, a predicted model, not a curated record
AGUCGCUACUAUUGUUUUCAGUCAGCGGGUAAGAGAGUGGGGUCUGGACACAGCAAAGGAGGUGUCUCGAAACUGGUUCCUUCUAAGACAGCAUUUGAAGAAGCUGCAGGGAAAGAUGUUCAAGAAAAGCCGAAACGGUUGGAAAAGGGAGGGCUACUAGAAUUGGCAAGUAAGUGAAAAUCGAGAGAAAAUAACGAAGAAGAAUAGAGUUUACGCAGACAAGUGAAAGAGAUGGAGCAGUAGGUGACUCAUUUCCAAACACAACUGAAAGAGAAAGAGUCGGAAAAAGCCAGCCUGCUAAAGGAAAAGCGAAAACAAGACGACAGAUCACAGAAAC